UUUAUUUAAAUAUUAAUAUUUAUAAAAAUAAUUGGAAAUAAUGUAUAUCACAAGGAGCUUAAGUAUAAAUGGCAAAAUCAUGGUACUUGAGAAAGCUGGGAAAAUUUAUUACAAAAAGCGGCUAAAAGUAAAUGCCCGAGGAAGCCCGAGGAAUCUUAUCUUUAGUUUUCUGUAAAAUUAGAAUCAGAAAAUCACAUCUGAUUGUCUUUUAAGAUCAUUAAACCCAAAUCUUUCCAGUUUUAGUUAUUAUUCAGCACCAAAUUAAAAUGUAGACACUUUUAUAGGUUCUUUUUAAUGCUUUAUUUAUAUGGAUUUAUAUACAUUAAUUAUUACUUUAAGUAUACUUUGGUUGAAAUAUAAUAAAUUUGCAUCAUCCAUAAGAUUUAAACGUCA
Long non-coding RNA from Onthophagus taurus, 393 nucleotides. RefSeq lists it as uncharacterized. The record is from RefSeq and is a predicted model, not a curated record. Lineage: Eukaryota; Metazoa; Arthropoda; Insecta; Coleoptera; Scarabaeidae.